Molecule: ribosomal RNA, 439 nt
Filed under: uncultured bacterium
Lineage: Bacteria
Description: partial 16S ribosomal RNA
Rfam family: Bacterial small subunit ribosomal RNA
Source: RNAcentral
CUACGGGGGGCUGCAGUGAGGAAUAUUGCGCAAUGGGGGAAACCCUGAUCUAGCCAUGCCGCGUGAGUGAUGAAGGCCUUAGGGUUGUAAAGCUCUUUCGCUGGGGAAGAUAAUGACGGUACCCAGUAAAGAAACCCCGGCUAACUCCGUGCCAGCAGCCGCGGUAAUACGGAGGGGGUUAGCGUUGUUCGGAAUUACUGGGCGUAAAGCGCGCGUAGGCGGGCUAUUAAGUCAGGGGUGAAAUCCCGGGGCUCAACCCCGGAACUGCCUUUGAUACUGGUAGUCUUGAGUUCGAGAGAGGUGAGUGGAAUUCCGAGUGUAGAGGUGAAAUUCGUAGAUAUUCGGAGGAACAUCAGUGGCGAAGGCGACUCACUGGCUCGAUACUGACGCUGAGGUGCGAAAGUGUGGGGAGCAAACAGGAUUAGAUACCCCUGUAGUC